CAGCUACUUCUGCCCAGGAAGAGAGGCAGCAAAUAUUAUAUUCAGUACACACAGAAGAAAUUCCACCUACCUUCGGAAGUGAUGCUCGUGAGCCUGAGCUUUGUGUUGUCAUGGUCAGUACAGUUGUUAUGCCUAAAGCCACUCUGGCUGGAGCUGCAUCCAUAUUGAUCCAAAAUGACACCCAGGAGAGAAUCACGAUCAAGAGACUUGGCCCAGGGAUUUUUCUGCACCUGCCAGUCCUGCCAGGAGCUGAUGGAAUUACACUGACUUUGGGAUUUCCUCCUCAGCUGUAGUGUGCUUCCCAGCCAAGACUUCUGUGUUCCUCCUCUCCUCUGUUCCCAAGUAGUGCUGAAGAAUUAACUUAAUAGGAGGCAACUUCCCAGGAAGAUAGAUGGCUACCCAAAUAGAAACCCUUCUGUUUCUGCACAGAUUACUGGGCUUUCCCAUCCAUGAGAGACAUAAGAGAAAAAAAGCAGCAGACUGAAGUCAGUCUCAGCAGAGACCAUUUGCAGCAGUUCUUGGUCUAAGCAUGGAAAGCGUAUUGUUAGUUCUUGCCCUUCCUGGCUGAGAUCAGAACCACCUACAUAAACUUGGCUGAUGAAGCAGAAUGGAAAUAUAGCUUUCGCACUAGCAGAUGUGAGCUUCAGAGGCUGUGCUGUUUUUUCCUAGCUGAAGCCAUCAUCCAGUUGUGAGCUCCUGUUCUUUCCCUGUCCCUUGUCCCUUUGCCUCCUGUACCUUAGAUAUUUACAGACAUUGAUCAGACCCUCUCAAUUCAGGUUCUCACUAAAGCAACCUGUUCCAGCGUGCUGUCAUUCUGACAGUAAAGUUCUUCCUUGUGUUAGUAUGGAAAUUCUUAUGUUCCAGUUUCAACCCCAAAAGGUUGCAGAUCCAGGGGUUAUAAAUCACUACUAAAAUCUCAGAAACAGUGUCUUAGGUAAUUGUCAAAAAGCAUGAGGGUUUGAGUUCUUGUUGACAGAGGAAAGCAUCAAAGCUUGGUUCUCCUUCUUUAGGCACUGUCAUGUUAGUAGCAAAAGGACCCAAUGUAAGACAUGGUCAGUAGUAGCUGUGACCUAGAAGAAGCACAGUCUGCAGGUUGUUAAGUGAUUUAUUUGGCUUUAAGAGGAAAGAAAGACAACCAUGGGAAAAAUUGUGUAUGGACUGCAUAUGUUGAGAAGUUGAAUAGGUUGAAUGGGGAAGAUGAAGUUAAAGAAUUUGGCAGGUGACCAAGAUUGCAGAUUUACCAAAUUAGAGAUACAGAGACAUUAGAAACGGUCUCUUACAGAAUCUAUCAGUUCUGCUGGUGAAAAAUAGCCAUGCCUGUGCAGUUUCCAGGAUUGCUACAAACAACACUUUGAGUGAAAAAAAACCCCAAACCAAUCUAUAGACAACACAGUUCAGAAUAUUUUUAAUCAGGAUUAUGAUUAGUAUAGUAUCUGUGGUGAUGGAAUUAUUCAAAUUUCAUUUGUGCUUGCUAGACAAUGUUCAUUAUGUAUGAAUUUGUCUAUGUAUGUUGGUCUGUGCAGCUACUGGUACUUGCAGUUGAAAACUGGGUGUUCCAUGAAAGCCCAGCAUGCAUGUGACACAGUCAGGGUAAGGCAGGACCAUCCUUGGAAUGUGAGAAGUCACAUACGACUUUUCUGGCUAUAGAAUUUCACUUCAUUUUCUAAAUUUGUCACUGUAGACAUGCCAGAGGAUGUAAAAACAGAUAAAAAUGAUCAUAAAUAUCAUUGCAUCAAUUCAAACACAAGACUUCAUGAGCCAUUAUGCUGUGCUGUUGCUGAAACUCUUCCAUCCCUAUACUUGAAGAACUUUAUAUAUGUUAUUUUUAAGCUACAGUUACAGCAAUCCAUUCUCAAUUGGACAUGAAACUCUAAUGAGGGCAUGCACUGAUUAAUUCUUACAUACUGUCCUGAAGCUUCAAGUUAAUUAGUUUCACAGGAAGAUUUUUAAAUAUUUCUUUCUGUUCUACAGAAUGUCUCUCAAAAGCUUUCUAUCCUAUGUUGCACCUAAACUUAAACAGGAAAAUUAUAUUUGGUCACAUGAAAUAAAUUACAUGGGAGUUUCUUGUGGAGUAUUCUAAAAGGAUAUCUGUCUACGGGGUAUGUGCUCAACCUUCUAAAUUUUUGUUGUUGUUGCUAUCUUUCACUUAUGUGUUAAUAAACAAUAGUAAAAAAAAAAAAGAUGUUUUGCUACCUAUACACAUUAAUUAUAUUAUAUAUUUUAUCCAUGGCUCAAGACAAUUUCUCUUCAGUCAGUGUAGCCAUGGCAAGCCAAAAGGUUAGAGACUCAUGGUCAUGGCUCAUAGGUUAUGAAGAAAAAGGUGUAAGCUCAAAAAUGCUGAAAAAAUAAAGCUUCUCUCAAAGUCAAAGGUUGAAACUGUGAUGAUUUUAAUGAGAGUUCUCAGGCAAACUAUC
This is a long non-coding RNA of Phasianus colchicus (ring-necked pheasant), 2414 nucleotides long. RefSeq lists it as uncharacterized. NCBI's taxonomy places the organism in Eukaryota, Metazoa, Chordata, Aves, Galliformes, Phasianidae. The record is from RefSeq and is a predicted model, not a curated record.